GCCUACGGGGGGCAGCAGUCGGGAAUAUUGCGCAAUGGAGGAAACUCUGACGCAGUGACGCCGCGUAUAGGAAGAAGUUUUUCGGAAUGUAAACUAUUGUCGUUAGGGAAGAGAAAGGACAGUACCUAAGGAGGAAGCUCCGGCUAACUACGUGCCAGCAGCCGCGGUAAUACGUAGGGAGCGAGCGUUAUCCGGAAUUAUUGGGUGUAAAGGGAGCGUAGACGGCAGCGCAAGUCUGGAGUGAAAUGCCGGGGCUCAACCCCGGAACUGCUUUGGAAACUGUGCGGCUCGAGUGCGGGAGAGGG
RNAcentral lists this ribosomal RNA (305 nucleotides) under uncultured bacterium. Its description in RNAcentral is "bacterial SSU rRNA". It matches the Rfam family "Bacterial small subunit ribosomal RNA", at positions 337 to 658 of the family's 1533-position model. The record is from RNAcentral.